GUCCAACUUGGGUAACAUAGUGAGACCCCAUCUCUUAAAAAAAAAAAAAAAAAAGGUCUGUCCAAGCCCAGACAAAGUCUUCACUCCUUCCCGAGGCCCGAGGAAGCCCUCUCUCCCCAGACAUGGCCAAUAAGGGUCCUUCCUAUGGCAUGAGCUGCGAAGCUCAGUCCAGAAUUGAGAAGAAGUACGACAAGGGACUGGAGGAACGGCUGGUGGAGUGGAUCAUAGUGCAGUAUGGCCCUGAUGUGGGCUGCCCAGACCGUGGGCGCCUGGGCUUCCAGCUCUGGCUAAAAAAUGGUGUGAUUCUGAGCAAGCUGGUAAACAGCCUGUACCCUGAUGGCUCCACGCCAGUGAACCUGCCCGAGAACCUGCCCUCCAUGGUCUUCAAGCAGAUGGGGCAGGUGGCUCAGUUCCUGAAGGCAGCUGAGGACUAUGGGGUCACCAAGACUGACAUGUUCCAGACUGUUGACCUCUUUGAAGGCAAAGACAUGGCAGCAGUUCAGAGGACCCUGAUGGCUUUGGGCAGCUUGGCAGUGACCAAGAAUGAUGGGUACUACCGUGGAGAUGCCAACUGGUUUAUGAAGAAAGCGCAGGAGCAUAAGAGGGAAUUCACAGACAGCCAGCUGCAGGAAGAAAAGCAUAUCAGGGCAGCAACAGAGGGGCCUCCCAGGCUGGCAUGACAUGCUACAGACGACCUUGGCAGAUCAACAGCCCUGCCCUCCCCCAGCUCCUUGGCUGCAGCCAUCCCGCUUAG
Non-coding RNA from Macaca mulatta (Rhesus monkey), 754 nucleotides. Lineage: Eukaryota; Metazoa; Chordata; Mammalia; Primates; Cercopithecidae. The record is from RefSeq and is a predicted model, not a curated record.